RNAcentral lists this transfer RNA (82 nucleotides) under Planctomyces sp. RNAcentral describes it as "tRNA-Leu". It matches the Rfam family "tRNA". From Rfam's summary of the family: Transfer RNA (tRNA) molecules are approximately 80 nucleotides in length. Their secondary structure includes four short double-helical elements and three loops (D, anti-codon, and T loops). RNAcentral also lists the same sequence under 1 other name. The record is from RNAcentral. Lineage: Bacteria; Pseudomonadati; Planctomycetota; Planctomycetia; Planctomycetales; Planctomycetaceae.
GCGAGAGUGGCGAAAUUGGCAGACGCGCUGGAUUUAGGAUCCUGUGCCUUCGGGCGUGGGGGUUCAACUCCCCCCUCUCGCA